UACAUUUGCAGCGAAUUUGGUUUCCCGCCACUGGCGGGAUGAAAAGGGAAGCCGGUGCAAGUCCGGCGCUAUCCCCGUAGCUGUAACGUCCAUAGAAAUGUUUUGUUAGUGCACCACUCCGGCGCUUUUGUUGGGGGAAGGUAAACAAAACGGACGAAGCCAGAAGACCUGCCGGUUCAGUUAAAACAAU
This 190-nucleotide non-coding RNA is filed under the name Niabella soli. RNAcentral also lists the same sequence under 1 other name. Lineage: Bacteria; Pseudomonadati; Bacteroidota; Chitinophagia; Chitinophagales; Chitinophagaceae. The record is from RNAcentral.